RNAcentral lists this ribosomal RNA (465 nucleotides) under Vreelandella stevensii. Its description in RNAcentral is "partial 16S ribosomal RNA". It matches the Rfam family "Bacterial small subunit ribosomal RNA", at positions 338 to 795 of the family's 1533-position model. The record is from RNAcentral. Lineage: Bacteria; Pseudomonadati; Pseudomonadota; Gammaproteobacteria; Oceanospirillales; Halomonadaceae.
CCUACGGGGGGCAGCAGUGGGGAAUAUUGGACAAUGGGGGCAACCCUGAUCCAGCCAUGCCGCGUGUGUGAAGAAGGCCCUCGGGUUGUAAAGCACUUUCAGUGGGGAAGAACGCCUGGUGGUUAAUACCCAUCAGGAAAGACAUCACUCACAGAAGAAGCACCGGCUAACUCCGUGCCAGCAGCCGCGGUAAUACGGAGGGUGCGAGCGUUAAUCGGAAUUACUGGGCGUAAAGCGCGCGUAGGUGGCUUGAUAAGCCGGUUGUGAAAGCCCCGGGCUCAACCUGGGAACGGCAUCCGGAACUGUCAAGCUAGAGUGCAGGAGAGGAAGGUAGAAUUCCCGGUGUAGCGGUGAAAUGCGUAGAGAUCGGGAGGAAUACCAGUGGCGAAGGCGGCCUUCUGGACUGACACUGACACUGAGGUGCGAAAGCGUGGGUAGCAAACAGGAUUAGAUACCCGAGUAGUC